Molecule: long non-coding RNA, 1173 nt
Filed under: Pan troglodytes (chimpanzee)
Lineage: Eukaryota; Metazoa; Chordata; Mammalia; Primates; Hominidae
Description: long non-coding RNA NONPTRT015922
Source: RNAcentral
GGCGGCCUGGAGGACUCAUAGAAGGAGCUCUGCAAAUGUGUUGUGAAGGGGAGCUGUGACACCCUGAGCUUCCUGGGUGAGAGGCUGGCCUCUGGGGGCCUCCACACCUUGGUUUUACUCCUUUAUUCAAUCGCAUGAGACUCCUGAAUCUCAGAGCAGGAAGCAUGUGGAGAUCAUUUCUUCAGCCCUCUGUCUUCAGGCAGGUAGAAGGUAUCUGUCAUUAUCAUUUUGAGGUUUUAUGUAAUGAAAUGCAGAGGUUAUGUGACUUGUUCCAGGUCUCGUGGAGUAAAUAAACUGGAAUCUGCUCCUCGCUGUCCUGCCCUUCACAUGGUGCCAGAGGCAGCUCCUGCGUGCACACCUGUGGCUCACCAGCCUGUCUGCUCCUGGGGAGCUGGGGCCUCCCCUGGUUUACAUCUGCAUCUCUAGGACACCCACGCUGCACUCUGCACACUGAGUUCUCAGGAGAUUCCUGCUGAGCAAAGAAGGAUGAAUUGUAGGCCUGCUUCUUUUUUUUUUUUGAGACGGAGUUUUGCUCUUGUUUCCCAGGCUGGAGUGCAAUGGCGUGAUCUCAGCUCACCACACCCUCCGCCUCCCGGGUUCAAGUGAUUCUCCUGCCUCAGCUUCCUGAGUAGCUGGGACUACAGGCAUGGGCCACCACACCUGGCUCAUUUUAUAUUUUUAGUAGAGACGGGGUUUGUCUAUGUUGGUCAGGCUGGCUGCGAACUCCCAACCUCAGGCGAUCCACCCGUCUCGGUCUCCUAAAGUGCUGGGAUUACAGGAGUGAGCCACCGCGCUUGGCCAGGCCUGCUUUUAAGGAUGCCCCAGGUCCAGAAAAUCAGGGCCAGCCCUGGGAAGUUCGCUCCUUCAGGCAGGUGUGCAUCUUCAUGUGAGACUUGAUCAGACCUGGGUUUUUGUAUCUACCCCACUCCGAAGCUCUCCUGCGUGAACCUGGAAUUCUCACUGCUUUGGGCAGAGGUUCCUCCUUCAGAAAAGGGUCCCAGUGUGCUGUGGGAGGCAGGGUGAGGAGGCUGUCCGGCCUCAGGCGAGGAAGGAGAAGCACAUGGAAGGAAGGGCAGCAGGAAGCCUGAACCUGACUGCCAUGAAUGGCCAGCCCCAAUCUUGGGCCUCAGUUUCCUCAUCUGUCUGGACUAGGCCAGGCCACCACCAAGCCAG